Molecule: long non-coding RNA, 2832 nt
Organism: Puntigrus tetrazona (Sumatra barb)
Lineage: Eukaryota; Metazoa; Chordata; Actinopteri; Cypriniformes; Cyprinidae
Exons: 2
Source: RefSeq, a predicted model, not a curated record
AUCUUUACGUUAACAUCUUAUUAUGUGAAAAAGGUUAUCGGCUUGAAUACAGAGUGUCGCUCAGUCGGUGUGUUAUCUGAUAGGAGCUAUUUCAUUGAAAAGACGUUUUGUUGUUAAGAACAUUUCGAUAUCUUUGUGUUUGGUUUGGUCAGAGGUGAAGCCAUAUAAGCGUUUCGCUCACAGCAGAAAGUGUUAUUGUUACAGUAAACGUGAGAGAACAACGACGUGCUGUAGCUUCACGCAGGGUUCGUGGAGUUUGAUGGAAAGUGCAUGGGAAUAUGUGAAUGCGGCAUUGUUCAGUUGUAAAAUUAUUCUUAUUUAAAGGAUUUCCUGUUUGGCUGUGGCCGCUGAAGUAAGUAAAAGUGCGCUUUAAGCAUUCGCUCACACUCUGUCUUUGUUUUCCUCGAUGUGUGCACUCUUUUGUCACUCGCUCUCUAGCUGUAUUCCUGAACAGUAGCCUAUGACCUACUUAUUAAAAAUAAGCAAACUGUACUCAAAACGGCAAAAAGUGUGUUCAACGUUUUGGCCGUUUUAACUACCACAAACUCAAAUAACAUGAGUAAAAUUAACUAAAUAAGUCGCUUUUAGGGUUUAUAUUUCUAUAGUCUUUCAACGGACGUAAACUCAUUUCCGCCUGUGGGUGGCGGUAAUGAGCUUUAUUGCUUUCCAAUACGCCAGAAGAAAAGUCUCUGCUCCGUGCAUUUUACUUGUCUAUUUUAAAACAUACUGGUUAAAUCGCUUCAAAAUAGAAGGAGUCAGCAGGUGUAAUAUCAGGCAGUGUCGGUUUAUUUAAUGUUUUACACAAACUGGUAAAAUAAUAACGGAAUGGUGAUGAAUUCGCAUCUGAGCGCUCGGAGUUCAACUCGAAAACCGUUAUAGGUGAUAUUAUCGUGCAGAUAAGUCAAUUCAGCAAACAUUUGCAACAUUUCGAUUAUAAUAUAAUCGUUCCAACGUGAUGUUGUUGUCGUUGGAAAAACAAGCGUUUUAAUUGUAAAGACGAAAGCGCAUUUAACAAAGAUUUAGAAUCCUCUUUGUUUUGACAUCUUAACUCGUCCAACAAAAUAAUAGCUGUUAAAUAACGUUACGACUGUGACGAUUUAUCUAACUGAGAGACUCGUUCUGCUCAGAGCGUUGCAAUACAUUUUCUUUAAAAAAAAAUACUUUUAAAAAAGUUGUACUAAUCUGCAGUCUAUUGUAACGGUACACUGCUGGAGUCAGCGGUUCACGUGGAAACCAGAAAACCCGCCAAACCGUGCAGCGGAAGUCGCUGCUUUCCAAAGAAGGAGUCGUUGAUCCAACGCGGUUCCGUGGAAUAUUGAAUCGUUAUUUUUUCUGUGUCUAUUAUGACUAAUUUCCGUCUAUUAUGACAAAUUUUUGGAAAGCAGCCGUUUUAGAGCCGACCCUUCAACUUCUUCCGAAAGGGCUUGGAAGACCCGAGGCACCUCGAAUCCAGAUUGCUGAGUCUAUAAAAUGAUCUCCUGGUUGAGGAAGAGGAAUGGAUGUGCAGGCUCAGUACAAUGUAUUUUCUGUUCUUUUCAGUUGUUGUGACUGCUGAAAAGAACAUUCAGUGAAGUACAGAUUUUUAUGUGCUUAUUCGUUGGGAUUGCAUUCCUGAAAACCACUAGCACAUACUGAGCUCAGGUUAUAAUGCAGAGCACAGAAAAUCGUUCUUUUUGUGCAAUUACUUGGAUAUAAAAAAACAAGAAAAAGGAAACAACAUUGUAAACACAUCUGAAAUUCCAUGUUGAACAUGAAACGAUUAUGUUAUGUUGUAUUUUUCUAGUUACUAUUAUCAGAAAGUUAAUGUCGGUUAUGCUCGGAUGUUAAUGCAUCAGGUUUCAAUGGUUAUUUAUUCUUCAAAAUAAAAUGUACUUUUGCAAAUGGAGUUUGAAAUAGUAUAAAUGCUUUACUUUAAAGUACAUUUUAAUCUUUAUUUGAAUUUUUUUAUUUUAACUUAGUAAUAAUAAAUACAAUUAUUUUACAUUUAGUAUUUUUUAAAUGUACUAAAUUGAAACGUCAUUCUUACAAAUGUGUAUUUAACACAAAUUUGUUAGAAAUAUGUUUAGCUAUAACAUACAAGUAUAUUUUAGUUGCUGUUGUCAAUACAUUGAGCCCUUCAAAGACAAUAGAAGUAAUUAUGAAAAUUACGUAUGCAUUACAUGCACAAAGGCCUAAGUCUUAUGAAGUUGAAAAGUGCUUAACUAGGCUAAUUACAUUUAUUAUAUUUUAAAGAAAUACAUUUUCUUUUAAUCGUAAAUUACAUGCAGUUCAAUGUCUGAAGACAUUUCCAUAAUUGCAAUAUUCUCCUUACAAGAGAUUUUUAUUUUAUGUUAUUUGAUAUUUCAUUUUAUUUUAUUUUUUUUGUCACUGCGGACAAAAAUAUAUUUUGUGCUCCACAUAAAAUAUCUGGUGGAUAUCUUUUACAUAAAAGCAGUGGAAAAAAAGGCCAAAGCCACUAAUGCUGCAAGGCGUGAAGAGCACUGAGCAUGAAGAAAACACUGAGAGGAAUGACUUCUACAUAAACGGGUUAUAACUGAAGUACGACUUCACAAGAACCGUCAUGAGGGGAAAAAAUAAAGAUGGAAGAUAAACUCGGCUUCCGUCAGUGCUGAAGUACGUUCAUUAAUUCAGCCCACCUCAACGUAAAAAGACCCCAAGGGAUGAUGCAAUUCCUACUAGAAGUGAAACAUACUUGGACGUGUGUGCGUGGUCAGGACAAGUGUUUCUAGGAGAUACUUUAUCAGCACUCUACAGACUGGGAUCACUAAGAUUUUAUCCAUUAAAAUGCGGCACUCCAAAGGCAAAUUAAACACUGAGUUCAGAAUAAUUGUA